ACAGCUAAACCAAGCCUUUGCUGCCCACUUCAUCAUCAGCUGACGAUAACAAAAGCACUCAGACUACCUCCAGACCAUCAAACAGAAGGAGGGCGAGUCCAUUCAGUCUUACGUAGCUCGAUUCAACUGAGCUAUGUUGGAAGUUUGCAACCUAAAUCACUCAAUUGCAAUGUUCACUCUGAAAGGUGGAUUGUUGAUAGGCGACUUCAAAAAGUCGCUGUUGAAGACCUUUCCCUGUAAUUUUUUGAAAAUACUGACUUGGACAGAGAAAUACACC
RNAcentral lists this long non-coding RNA (277 nucleotides) under Elaeis guineensis (African oil palm). Its description in RNAcentral is "long non-coding RNA (EGUI_LNC022212)". Lineage: Eukaryota; Viridiplantae; Streptophyta; Magnoliopsida; Arecales; Arecaceae. The record is from RNAcentral.